GUCUAUCACACCAGGCAAGACCCCAGGUGCAGGCUGUGUAAAGAUGCCCCAGAAACAAUCCAGCACAUAACAGCAGGGUGCAAGAUGCUAGCAGGCAAGGCAUACAUGGAACGCCAUAACCAAGUGGCCGGCAUAGUGUACAGGAACAUCUGUGCCGAGUAUAACCUGGAAGUCCCGAGGUCAAAAUGGGAGAUGCCCCCAAGGGUGGUGGAGAAUGACCAAGCUAAGAUCCUGUGGGACUUCCAGAUACAGACGGACAAAAUGGUGGUGGCUAACCAACCGGACAUAGUGGUGGUAGACAAACAGAAGAAGACGGCCGUAGUGAUCGAUGUAGCGGUUCCGAAUGACAGCAAUAUCAGGAAGAAGGAACACGAGAAGCUGGAGAAAUACCAAGGGCUCAGAGAAGAGCUCGAGAGGAUGUGGAGGGUGAAGGUAACGGUGGUCCCCGUGGUAAUCGGAGCACUAGGUGCGGUGACUCCCAAGCUAGGCGAGUGGCUCCAGCAGAUCCCGGGAACAACAUCGGAGAUCUCUGUCCAGAAGAGCGCAGUCCUGGGAACAGCUAAGAUACUGCGCAGGACCCUCAAGCUCCCAGGCCUCUGGUAGAGGACCCGAGCUUGAAGGAUAAACCGCCCGCAGGGGCGUGCUGGGUGUUUUUUUUUUUUUUUAUACAUACACACAUACAUACACAUACACACAUACAUACACAUACACAUACAUACACACACAUUUUGUUUAGCGAUUAAUAGAAUUACAUUUAUAAAAACCUAUGUUAGCAGUAAUGCAACAAAUCUACAUCUGUUACAGAGAUAUAUAUAUGGUACAAUCUUUCCUCGACUAAACAUCCCAGCAAAUUUACAGAGGACACAUUGUGCAAUGCUCAGAGAAACUGCACAAACAAAAUCCAAGAGCUGCAACUGAAACUCUAAAGGCCUCAGUUAGUAAGCUAAAUGUUAAAGUCCAUGAGAGUACUAUUAGAUACAGACUGUAGGAGUAAUGCUCGUUUGGAAGGGUUGCCAGGAGAAAGGCUUUCUCUUUCUGAAGAAAGAAA
Long non-coding RNA from Astatotilapia calliptera (eastern happy), 1048 nucleotides. The record is from Ensembl. NCBI's taxonomy places the organism in Eukaryota, Metazoa, Chordata, Actinopteri, Cichliformes, Cichlidae.